Molecule: long non-coding RNA, 1667 nt
Organism: Esox lucius (northern pike)
Lineage: Eukaryota; Metazoa; Chordata; Actinopteri; Esociformes; Esocidae
Source: Ensembl
GGCUUGGGCAUCUUUUUCGGAUGCCUCCGGAACGCCUUCCUGGGAAGGUGUUCCGGUCCCGUCCCACCGGGAGGAGACCCCGGGGAAGACCUAGGACACGCUGGAGGGACUAUGUCUCCCGGCUGGCCUGGGAACGCCUCUGUGUCCCCCCGGAAGAGCUGGAGGAAGUGUCUGGGGAGAGGGAAGUCUGGGCAUCCCUGCUUAGACUGCUGCCCCCGCGACCCGGCCCCGGAUAAGCGGAAGAAGAUGGUAUGCUUGCAAAGGGCCUGACUCCAUCUCUGGACUUCCCGAUGAACGGUCAACCUCUCAAUGGAAGACAUGAGUGUUAAACCUGUGAAAACAUCGAGCAUCUUAUCAGUAAUAAGGGACCAUGGUCCUUCAGGAUGACAGCCCACCUGCUGACCUGUGUACAGAGGACAGUCUUGCCAGCAGGGUGUUUUCAAGGAGAGCCCAACAUAAGUCCAGUCUAAGAGAAGCCCUCCCCAGCCUGAGUGAGCUAAUUACUCCAGGCUCCUCCACAGACACUCAACAAACCACAGGUGCCAAACUCGUGUUUUACCUUAAAGUUCAGAAUGUGUUCUGUGUCCAUUGACAGCGCCAAUUGGCCACUCAUGGUGCUAUUUUUAUUUUACUACCAGAACAAUUUCAGCUUUUUAUAACUGCAAAGCCAAAUCGCAUUGAAAUGUUUACUCUUCCCUCCCCACCUGAGCCCUUUCUAAAGUCCUUGGUACCAAACGUAUACUCCAAGUCUAGAGUCAACAUUAGCAUAAAUUACUGGUGCAGCCUUGGUAUCGGGGUAAAGCACCAGUGGAAAUGCGGCAUGAGUGACCCCCCCAUCUCAGAAUAGGCCCUCUACAUCUUAAUCAACAACCUGACAAAAAUGUUUGCCCAGAUAGAAGUAGAACAGGUACUGCUCAGAGAGAAGGUGAACACAAGACAUCUGACUGAAGACAAACAGAGGACAAGAUGACUGUGAACCCACAGCACAGUUGUGAAACCCAAGAAAGAAUUGACUGAGCUCUCAGCAGAGGUGAGAGAGCUGGAGAGCGAUAUGGAGAACUGUAAGACAGAGGCAACGAUGUGCCUUCAAACCCAGUUGGACACUAUAGACCUGCCUGAAGCCAACACCAACCAAAUCUGAACUUAGACAUCACCUCCCACCACCACCGCACAACACCCCAACCAUACCACAAAUGCCACUCUACCCCAGCCCCAAAAUCUAACAGCCCCAAAUCUACUCCCUCCAGACCUGAGGACAGACAGGCUGACAUCAUCCUGCUGAUGGAUUCCAAUGGUAAAUUUACUCAAGAGAAACCCUUCCCUGAUCAAAAAACCAAAAGAUGUGGUGCCCUACAAACUGAAGUACAAUGGACCUCCUCAGUACGGCCCAGAUGAGAUCACCACAUUAUAAUACACACUGGGACCAAUGACCUGCGGGCACAGCAAGAGAGAGUGGCCACCUCCAGCGUCCCAACACAAAAAUAGUGGUGUCAGCCCUCCUCCUAAGAACAGAAUUCCACCCAACCACAUCCAGCGCAUGAACGCCAGCCUCUCCAGAGCCUGGGCCCUGAUACCAAAUGUACAGGUGCUGGUCGUAUAAUUAGAACAUCAUCAAAACGUUGAUUUAUUUCAGUAAUUCCAUUCAAAAAGUGAAACAUGUAUAAUGU